AUUGAACGCUGGCGGCAGGCCUAACACAUGCAAGUCGAACGAGUGGCGGACGGGUGAGUAAUGUCUGGGAAACUGCCCGAUGGAGGGGGAUAAAUACUGGAAACGGUAGCUAAUACCGCAUACCAUCGGAUGUGCCCAGUUGGGCUUAGCUAGUAGGUGGGGUAACGGCUCACCUAGGCGACGAUCCCUAGGUGGUCUGAGAGGAUGACCAGCCAAACGGGAACUGAGACACGGUCCAGACUCCUACGGGAGGCAGCAGUGGGGAAUAUUGCACAAUGGGCGAAAGCCUGAUGCAGCCAUGCCGCGUGUAUGAAGAAGGCCUUCGGGUUGUAAAGUACUGUCAGCGAGGAGGCGUUACUCGCAGAGGAAGCACCGGCUAACUACGUGCCAGCAGCCGCGGUAAUAC
Molecule: ribosomal RNA, 406 nt
Filed under: uncultured bacterium
Lineage: Bacteria
Description: partial 16S ribosomal RNA
Rfam family: Bacterial small subunit ribosomal RNA
Source: RNAcentral